AAGACUACACUUUCCAGCCUCCCAUGCAGCUGGAUGGAGCCAUACAACCAAGUUUCGGCCAAAGGAAAGAACGUGGCUCAGAUGGAUGUGCCAGAGGAAAUGCACCAGGAAAUCCCGAGCAGGGUGCAAUCAGUCACCAUUAAUGCUCACAAGUAUCAAAGCUACUUGAAGAAAUACAGCUACUUAUGGAUGGAUGAUAAAAUUGAAUUCACGAAGCAGUUCCUUCUCCAUGAGUGAUUUCUUAGUGCUGAAAAACUAGAAUUGCAUGUGGACUAUGAGUGUCAGAACUCCACACUGCAGUUAGCACACUUUACAGAACACGUAUUGAAUUUUAGCUGAGUCUAGCAUCAUCUUUUUCAACUCCCAGGACAGCUGUUAAAUCAUAAAAUAUUUUGAGAUAUAAAGCUCUUGCCUCUGAGAGAUCUUUCCUUUUUUUCCCCUUUUCCUUUAAGAUCAACAUCUAUGAAAUAUUAUGUGAAGGAAUUGAUAACUUUAAAAAUCAGAAGAUAUUUAGUGGCUAGCUUCAACUUGAUACUUUUAAAAAUCCAUGAUGAAUGUUACAAAAAAUGAGAUUUGAUGUUUAAGGAGCAUCUGCUUAACCAUUGUAACCUGUAGGUAGAGUAAUUUGAAUCUGAUUGUGAAAGGAAAUUAAAAUAACACAAAUCAUUUGAUGAAACUAUCCUCAUAGAAUUCUAAUUUAACUCAAAUAAUAAGUAUUUUAAUGGUUCUCCUAUGUGCUUAUUUUUAAUGUCGUAUUCUGUAAGUUACAAGAGAGUUGCUUUCAUGCAUGUGAAAUGCAAUUCUCUUCUUGCAAAAACUUGACACAAUGCUUAUCCAUUUGAUUUGAUUGCAUUUACGUGUUCAUUAAUAUAAUUGAAACAUGUAGCUUCCCCCAAGUUUUCACAGGCUCAUCCCUAAUUAACUGUUGGCAUUUUCUCAUAUUAUAUGUUAGUAUAACUGAGUUAGGGCAAUUUAUUGAUGAAAUAGGGAAAGAUUGAGCAGAGGACGUGAAGUGGGAAUUCAGCCCAUUGAGUACUGAUUGGGGGACUGUGGGCAGCUGGACCAUGCCAGGCAAUAGCCCUAAAAUCUCUGCUAUUUUAACUGCUUUACUAAAGCAUCCAGAAGAGAUUUAUAUGGGCAUAAGUGAUAGGGACUCAAGAGAGAGAGGUUAUCUCCAGGAGAUAGUAUUACUUUCCCCCAACUGGGCCCUGAACCACAAGUCAAAGGAGACUCAUGGUCUUCUAAGUAUGUUCUGUGUAUUUACAGGGUAUUUAAAAAAGUUUUAAAGAUUUAAUAGAACAGUCUGUGAACUUGGAAGGAGAAAAGAGAGCUUCUAAUCCUUGCUCAGCACUUUUGAGCACUGUGAUCUUGCUUGAGUGAGUUAGCCUGAGCGCAUUUCUUCACAGUGCCCUUGUGGGGUCUAAAUGCAAUACUUAUACAGGCUGCCUUGAUGUAGCCAACCAGUAUAUGUUUAUUGAAAUAUGAGGCUUUUAACCUUUUUUCUUUUCUUUUCUUUUUUUUUGUUUUUGAGAAGGAGUCUCGCUCUGUCGCCCAGGCUGGAGUGCAGAGGCGUGAUCUCGGCUCACUGCAAGCUCUGCCUCCUGUGUUCACGCCAUUCUCCUGCCUCAGCCUCCCGAGUAGCUGGGACUACAGGCGCCUGCCACCACGCCCGGCUAAUUUUUUGUAUUUUUAGUAGAGAUGGGGUUUCACUGUGUUAGCCAGGAUGGUCUUGAUCUCCUGACCUCAUGAUCCACCUGCCUCAGCCUCCCAAAGUGCUGGGAUUACAGGCAUGAGCCACCACGCCCGGCCCUUAACCUUUUUUUAAAUCAAGGAUAGGAAAUGAAAUCCACAAAGGAGGUGGUCAAUAAAAUAAGCAAAGGAGAUUUAAAUGGAGAUAACUUUUCAAAUUAAGAGUUUAAAGUCUUAUUUUUUUGUCCUUUACAGAUUAAUGUGAGGAUAUCUGACUAAAAGAAUUAAGAAACCCCUACCUUUAUUAUUUAUUUAUUUUUUGAGAUGGAGACUUGCUCUGACACCCAAGCUGGAGUGCAGUGGUGUGAUCUCGGCUUACUGCAGUCUACACUUCCCGAGUUCAAGCGAUUCUCCUGCCUCAGCCUCUUGAGUAGCUGGGAUUACAGGUGCCCGCCACCACGCCUGGCCAAUUUUUUUGUUGUUGUAUUUUUAGUAGAGACGGGGUUUCACCAUGUUGGCCAGGGUGGUCUCGAACUCCUGACCGCAAGUGAUCUGCCCACCUUGGCCUCCCAAAGUGCUGAGAUUACAGGUGUGAACCACUGUGCCCGGCCCCUACCCUUAUUUUUGCUUUUGUAUUAUUCUCAUUUCCUUGUAUGAUAGAAUUGUUAUGUUAACUGGCUAUAUUAAUAAAAUCAAUGA
RNAcentral lists this long non-coding RNA (2388 nucleotides) under Homo sapiens (human). RNAcentral's name for it is "HSALNT0043287". Lineage: Eukaryota; Metazoa; Chordata; Mammalia; Primates; Hominidae. The record is from RNAcentral.